AACGUAGGGGGCGAGCGUUGCCCGGAUUCACUGGGCGUAAAGCGCGUGUAGGCGGUUCGUUAAGUCGGAUGUGAAAUCCCACGGCUCAACUGUGGAAUUGCAUCCGAUACUGGCGAACUUGAGGACGGUAGAGGUCGGUGGAAUUCCCGGUGUACCGGUGAAAUGGGCAGAUAUCGGGAGGAACACCUGUGGCGAAGGCGGCCACCUGGUUGGAUACUGACGCUGAGACGCGAAAGCGUGGGGAGCAAACAGG
RNAcentral lists this ribosomal RNA (253 nucleotides) under uncultured bacterium. Its description in RNAcentral is "partial 16S ribosomal RNA". It matches the Rfam family "Bacterial small subunit ribosomal RNA", at positions 524 to 776 of the family's 1533-position model. The record is from RNAcentral.